Molecule: ribosomal RNA, 1080 nt
Filed under: Frigoribacterium sp. 1056G79
Lineage: Bacteria; Bacillati; Actinomycetota; Actinomycetes; Micrococcales; Microbacteriaceae
Description: bacterial SSU rRNA
Rfam family: Bacterial small subunit ribosomal RNA
Source: RNAcentral
UGCAAGUCGAACGGUGAAAGAGGAGCUUGCUCCUCUGGAUCAGUGGCGAACGGGUGAGUAACACGUGAGUAACCUGCCCCAGACUCUGGGAUAAGCACUGGAAACGGUGUCUAAUACCGGAUACGAGCUUCAGCCGCAUGGCUAGGAGCUGGAAAGAAUUUCGGUCUGGGAUGGACUCGCGGCCUAUCAGCUAGUUGGUGAGGUAAUGGCUCACCAAGGCGACGACGGGUAGCCGGCCUGAGAGGGUGACCGGCCACACUGGGACUGAGACACGGCCCAGACUCCUACGGGAGGCAGCAGUGGGGAAUAUUGCACAAUGGGCGCAAGCCUGAUGCAGCAACGCCGCGUGAGGGACGACGGCCUUCGGGUUGUAAACCUCUUUUAGUAGGGAAGAAGCGAAAGUGACGGUACCUGCAGAAAAAGCACCGGCUAACUACGUGCCAGCAGCCGCGGUAAUACGUAGGGUGCAAGCGUUAUCCGGAAUUAUUGGGCGUAAAGAGCUCGUAGGCGGUUUGUCGCGUCUGCUGUGAAAACUGGAGGCUCAACCUCCAGCCUGCAGUGGGUACGGGCAGACUAGAGUGCGGUAGGGGAGAUUGGAAUUCCUGGUGUAGCGGUGGAAUGCGCAGAUAUCAGGAGGAACACCGAUGGCGAAGGCAGAUCUCUGGGCCGUAACUGACGCUGAGGAGCGAAAGCAUGGGGAGCGAACAGGAUUAGAUACCCUGGUAGUCCAUGCCGUAAACGUUGGGAACUAGAUGUAGGGACCAUUCCACGGUUUCUGUGUCGCAGCUAACGCAUUAAGUUCCCCGCCUGGGGAGUACGGCCGCAAGGCUAAAACUCAAAGGAAUUGACGGGGGCCCGCACAAGCGGCGGAGCAUGCGGAUUAAUUCGAUGCAACGCGAAGAACCUUACCAAGGCUUGACAUAUACCCGGAAAAGUUCAGAAAUGUUCUCCCCGCAAGGUCGGUAUACAGGUGGUGCAUGGUUGUCGUCAGCUCGUGUCGUGAGAUGUUGGGGUUAAGUCCCGCAACGAGCGCAACCCUCGUUCUAUGUUGCCAGCACGUAAUGGUGGGAACUCAUAGGA